Molecule: unclassified non-coding RNA, 350 nt
Filed under: uncultured Rhizophydium
Lineage: Eukaryota; Fungi; Chytridiomycota; Chytridiomycetes; Rhizophydiales; Rhizophydiaceae
Description: sequence contains ITS2
Source: RNAcentral
AACGCAUAUUGCACUCUAUUUCUAUAGAGUAUGCCUGUUUGAGAAUCUAUAGUAUUCAUUUUAUAUAAUUUACUGAUUUUUAUCAGUUUUUUAUAUAAAGAUUUGAAGUUUCCAUUAUUUAUUUAAUGGUACUUUUAAAACUAUAGCUUUUUAUAAUAUAGUAACGUUUGAGUUUUUAUUAUAACGAGUUGAAAAGUAUUCGAAUGAAACCUAGUUUCUUACUUAUGCCUAUUAAAUUUGUACUGAUAUUAACGAGUUAUUAUAAUAUUAAAAAGUUCAUAAACCAUAUAAAAUUAUUUAUAAUUUUGAACCAUGGUCUCAAAUCAGGUAGGAAGACCCGCUGAACUUAA